RNAcentral lists this long non-coding RNA (207 nucleotides) under Lathyrus oleraceus (garden pea). RNAcentral describes it as "Pisum sativum (pea) long non-coding RNA (PSAT_LNC020999)". Lineage: Eukaryota; Viridiplantae; Streptophyta; Magnoliopsida; Fabales; Fabaceae. The record is from RNAcentral.
ACAAGCAUCUUGAAGACCUCCCCAACCAAGGGAAGACAGUUGUGAACAACGUUCCGAGCAAGCCAGAUCACAACCACCCACCUGAAGGGAGUGUGAUGCUGGGAAAGUGGGGCGCCUGCAUGUCUCCCAAAUCUCAGGCUUACUAUGAAAAGUUGUUAUCCAAUUGCUUCUAAUCGCUUGUAAUUCACUAGAUUGAGGUCUGAUAGG